GACGAACGCUGGCGGCGUGCCUAAUACAUGCAAGUUGAGCGCUGAAGGUUGGUACUUGUCCCAACUGGAUGAGCAGCAAACGGGUGAGUAACGCGUGGGGAAUCUGCCUUUGAGCGGGGGACAACAUUUGGAAACGAAUGCUAAUACCGCAUAAAAACUUUAAACACAAGUUUUAAGUUUGAAAGAUGCAAUUGCAUCACUCAAAGAUGAUCCCGCGUUAUAUUAGCUAGUUGGUGAGGUAAAGGCUCACCAAGGCGAUGAUACAUAGCCGACCUGAGAGGGUGAUCGGCCACAUUGGGACUGAGACACGGCCCAAACUCCUACGGGAGGCAGCAGUAGGGAAUCUUCGGCAAUGGACGAAAGUCUGACCGAGCAACGCCGCGUGAGUGAAGAAGGUUUUCGGAUCGUAAAACUCUGUUGGUAGAGAAGAACGUUGGUGAGAGUGGAAAGCUCAUCAAGUGACGGUAACUACCCAGAAAGGGACGGCUAACUACGUG
RNAcentral lists this ribosomal RNA (497 nucleotides) under uncultured bacterium. RNAcentral describes it as "partial 16S ribosomal RNA". It matches the Rfam family "Bacterial small subunit ribosomal RNA", at positions 28 to 507 of the family's 1533-position model. The record is from RNAcentral.